Molecule: long non-coding RNA, 400 nt
Filed under: Rattus norvegicus (Norway rat)
Lineage: Eukaryota; Metazoa; Chordata; Mammalia; Rodentia; Muridae
Description: long non-coding RNA NONRATT019435
Source: RNAcentral
GCGACAACGACGGCGGUGACAACGACGGCGGCGGUGACGGGCGCCGCGCCGGGGCAUGUGUCAUGCGCAUUCUUGGACACUUUAGUGAUACUGUUGUGGAUACACCAGAGUGACUGAUGAACCACCCUCACCUUUCCGGUUUCGUGCCUUCUCUUUCUGCACCACAUUCCUUUGAUAAGACUUGGUAAAGCACCAUAUCCCACUUGAACUCUGCAUCCAGGAAGCCCAGGAUUGAAGACAAAAGAUCAGAGACAUUGACUAACCUGGAAACAGGGACAUCUUUGGAACUUUAUCUACAGUAAUCUUUUAAACUGUCGUCAGGUGAAAUCAGCUUCAUCUUAUUCUGCUUAUUGAAAAGGACAUGGCUUCAAGGAUUUUAAAUUUCCUUUUAGUUUUUCAU